This is a long non-coding RNA of Dermochelys coriacea (leatherback sea turtle), 359 nucleotides long. RefSeq lists it as uncharacterized. The record is from RefSeq and is a predicted model, not a curated record. NCBI's taxonomy places the organism in Eukaryota, Metazoa, Chordata, Testudines, Dermochelyidae. The transcript is spliced from 3 exons.
UUCAAACUGUUUUGAUUUGGUUUUAGGACUCUGAACUGCAAUCAAGGUACAGUCCAGAAAAUCUGAAUGAAAUUCCCUAAUGUUCAGAUAUCUUAUGUUGUUCUGAUUGCCUUUUCUGGCCAAUAUUAUUCACCUACUUCUCUGCCUGGCUACUUGGCAGAACAUUUUUCAUGACUGAGUAGAUCCUGUGAGUCAGUGAUUGGACAAGCUGAGCAGAUAUUAACAAAAUAGAAUGCUCUGUUUCUUUAGGAGACCUACACCUCUCCAUGGAUGUCAGCCAAAGACCAACAUUGCUCAAAUUACAUCUGUAAAUCCCAAUCUAUUGAAAAACAGAUUAAAAAUCAAGAGCAAUUUGUAAA